ACUCAGCGUCGAGCUGAUGCAGCCAUGCCGCGUGUGUGAAGAAGGCCUUCGGAUUGUAAAGCACUUUCAGUAGGGAGGAAAGGGUGUAGUUUAAUACGCUAUAUCUGUGACGUUACCUACAGAAGAAGGACCGGCUAACUCCGUGCCAGCAGCCGCGGUAAUAA
Molecule: ribosomal RNA, 164 nt
Filed under: uncultured bacterium
Lineage: Bacteria
Description: partial 16S ribosomal RNA
Rfam family: Bacterial small subunit ribosomal RNA
Source: RNAcentral